AGGAAGGAAAAUAUGCACAAAGAAAUUUCACCAAAACAAGCGAGCGAAUUAAUAUUGACUGAUAGACUAGGCAGUAGGACCAAAUAUCCAAUAACAAUACUAAUGUCUGCAUUUUUCUGUAACAUAAAUCUUAUUCCAAAAGAUGUAUUUUGUUUGGCAGUAGGACCAUGUUUGUUUUUCAGUGGGAAGCCAAAUUUGUUUCUAUCAUACUCAUCCAAGACAACCUUAAUCCUUCUCACAUAAUUUAUAUAUGAAGAAGAGUUAACAAAGUCAUGAAUGUCACUAAUUAUAUCGACUAUUAGUAAUUUUCACUUCAUGAUAUUGUUACAACAUUUUUUGUUUGAACGGUUGCACCUUAUAUCACUAUUUAUGUAUUAAAUUUGUAUACCGUUCUAUCUAUAGUCUAAAAGUAAUUCAGUAGGUCGCACUUAUUCUUUCCACCAUCUUCUUUCAGAUUUCGAUGCUUAAUUAUAGAAUAAUACAUUUAUACUGGAGGCACAUUCAUGGUCAGGAGCUAGGUAAAAGAAGGAAGCUGGUAUGAAGAUGGCUCGGCCCAGCCAUGACCAUGCUAGUGAAGUACAACUUAUAACCCUUCAGGAGGAUGAAGGUUGUCAGAGAUAGUGGAGGCCUGGAAACAAUGGAAAAUACGAAACAAGUCCUACUUUGACAGGAUCUAGGUUGACAGAAUGAUCACAGACCUCAAAAAGUUUCAGUGCAGAAUUUGUCCUGAGCACACGAAGGCGCCCUCAUUGUUAUUCACUGCUACUUGCACUUGUAAUAUCUGUUUUCGUACCUUUUUGUGCUCGGCCAAAAUGGCAUAAGCCUCUGUACAUAUGCCAUGCAAAUAAUUCUGUUGUUGUAAUUCCAUUUUUUUUUGCCUGUCAUGGUAGUGCCCAACUCAUAUAUGUAUAUGUGUUGCUGAAAAUGUAU
Lolium rigidum is the source of this 930-nucleotide long non-coding RNA. RefSeq lists it as uncharacterized. Lineage: Eukaryota; Viridiplantae; Streptophyta; Magnoliopsida; Poales; Poaceae. The transcript is spliced from 3 exons. The record is from RefSeq and is a predicted model, not a curated record.